This is a long non-coding RNA of Zonotrichia albicollis (white-throated sparrow), 537 nucleotides long. NCBI's taxonomy places the organism in Eukaryota, Metazoa, Chordata, Aves, Passeriformes, Passerellidae. The record is from Ensembl.
AUAAAAAAUACUGUUGCCAGAACAUGGAAGCUGUUGUGGAACCCAUCUGGAAAGCUGCACUGACUGACGCAUUUCCAGGAGUCACACCAUCAGACAAAUAAUGCACCACUGAAUCAAAUUCCAGCAAGCUGGGCAUAAGAAGAAUAAUUUAAUUUCCACACUAAGUUUCCUUGGGAUGAGCAUCACCUGCGGUCCUUGCUGGAAGCACGUAUCAAACCCCAGCCUAAAGUUCGUGGUGGAAGGUUACUGUUGAUCAUACAGACAUAAACUGGGGAAACACCUGAAAUGAAAGGCAAGUCAGCAACAACAAAUCCCUGGAGUUUAUGGGACACGUGAAGAUAUGUGGCUUGUUGAAGACACUUAGUUACAGACGGAUUCAUUUUUAAAACCUGCAAAUCUCUCAGCUCCUGCUGGGUGUUGGUUACCCACCAUGAGAUUGACCUGAGAGAGAAGAAAUGGAUACAGUCAGAGAACUCAUCUGGGGCUCCUCUGGCUGUAGCUCUGAGAGUUGACAGCUCAGUGUUUCUUGUGCACCUC